Molecule: ribosomal RNA, 253 nt
Filed under: uncultured bacterium
Lineage: Bacteria
Description: partial 16S ribosomal RNA
Rfam family: Bacterial small subunit ribosomal RNA
Source: RNAcentral
UACAGAGGUCUCAAGCGUUGUUCGGAUUCAUUGGGCGUAAAGGGUGCGUAGGCGGCCUGGUAGGUCAGCUGUGAAAACUCGAGGCUCAACCUCGAGACGCCGGUUGAAACCAUCAGGCUAGAGUCCGGAAGAGGAGAGUGGAAUUCCCGGUGUAGCGGUGAAAUGCGCAGAUAUCGGGAAGAACACCCGUGGCUAAGGCGGCUCUCUAGUACGGUACUGACGCUGAGACGCGAAAGCGUGGGGAGCGAACAGG